This 246-nucleotide transfer RNA is filed under the name Pneumocystis jirovecii. RNAcentral's name for it is "tRNA-Pseudo(TTT)". The record is from RNAcentral. Lineage: Eukaryota; Fungi; Ascomycota; Pneumocystomycetes; Pneumocystales; Pneumocystaceae.
UGUAUUAUAAUGUAUUUAUAUGUUAUAAUAUAUUUUUAUAUUAUUAUAAUUUAUAUUGAAUAUUAAAAUACUUUUUUAAAAUUAUUUCAAUAAAUAUAACUAAUUUUAUUUUAAAUUAGGUUAUCUAAAAAGAAAAAGAUAUUUUGUAAAAAAUGAAUAUUAAUAAGAUAUACGAAUAAAAAAGUUUGUUAGAAUUAUUAAUAAAAUUAUUAAGGAUAUAUUUAUUUUAAAAAUAGAUUUAUACAA